AGAGUUUGAUCAUGGCUCAGAACGAACGCUGGCGGCAGGCCUCAAACAUGCAAGUCUAGGGGGUGUAGCAAUACAUCACCGGCGGACGGGUGCGUAACGCGUGGGAAUAUACCUAUUGGUUCGGAACAACUGAGGGAAACUUCAGCUAAUACCGAAUGUGUCCUUACGGAGAAAGAUUUAUCGCCAAUGGAUUAGCCCGCGUUCGAUUAGCUAGUUGGUGGGGUAACGGCCCACCAAGGCGACGAUCGAUAGCUGUUCUGAGAGGAAGAUCAGCCACACUGGGACUGAGACACGGCCCAGACUCCUACGGGAGGCAGCAGUUGGGAAUCUUGGACAAUGGGGGAAACCCUGAUCCAGCCAUGCCGCGUGAGUGAUGAAGGCCUUCGGGUUGUAAAACUCUUUCGCGCACGACGAUAAUGACGGUAGUGCGAGAAGAAGCUCCGGCUAACUUCGUGCCAGCAGCCGCGGUAAUACGAAGGGGGCUAGCGUUGUUCGGAAUUACUGGGCGUAAAGCGCGCGCAGGCGGCUAUCCAAGUCAGUGGUGAAAGCCCGGAGCUCAACUCCGGAACUGCCAUUGAAACUGUUUAGCUGGAGUAUGAGAGAGGUGAGUGGAAUUCCCAGUGUAGAGGUGAAAUUCGUAGAUAUUGGGAAGAACACCGGUGGCGAAGGCGGCUCACUGGCUCAUUACUGACGCUCAGGCGCGACAGCGUGGGGAUCAAACAGGAUUAGAUACCCUAGUAGUCC
This 744-nucleotide ribosomal RNA is filed under the name uncultured bacterium. Its description in RNAcentral is "bacterial SSU rRNA". It matches the Rfam family "Bacterial small subunit ribosomal RNA", at positions 8 to 796 of the family's 1533-position model. The record is from RNAcentral.